CAGUAGCCGCGGUAAUACGAAGGGUGCAAGCGUUAAUCGGAAUUACUGGGCGUAAAGCGUGCGUAGGCGGUUUGUUAAGUCUGCUGUGAAAUCCCCGGGCUCAACCUGGGAAUGGCAGUGGAUACUGGCAAGCUAGAGUGUGUCAGAGGAUGGUGGAAUUCCCGGUGUAGCGGUGAAAUGCGUAGAGAUCGGGAGGAACAUCAGUGGCGAAGGCGGCCAUCUGGGACAACACUGACGCUGAGGCACGAAAGCGUGGGGAGCAAACAGGAUUAGAUACCCCGUAGUCCCUGUCUCUUAUACA
RNAcentral lists this ribosomal RNA (301 nucleotides) under uncultured bacterium. RNAcentral describes it as "partial 16S ribosomal RNA". It matches the Rfam family "Bacterial small subunit ribosomal RNA", at positions 509 to 808 of the family's 1533-position model. The record is from RNAcentral.